Long non-coding RNA from Daphnia magna, 868 nucleotides. RefSeq lists it as uncharacterized. Lineage: Eukaryota; Metazoa; Arthropoda; Branchiopoda; Diplostraca; Daphniidae. The record is from RefSeq and is a predicted model, not a curated record. The transcript is spliced from 2 exons.
CAUCACGCAGUCACGAUGAUUGGGACAGUGUGUAACCAGUGUCAACAGGUCAGAUUCUAUACGCAGGUUACUUUAAAACAUUUGAAAUGUUUUGACAGUUCCUUAUUUAGUUAAUGACUCCCCAAAACCACUGGCAUUACUACAAUUGCUGCAUGGAUUAAUACCUGGACUGCUCACACUCGUUUCAUAUUCGAUGUGCUUUCAUCAGUUAACGAGUAAUUAUAGGCUUAUUAAGUUCGCUUGGGACGGCAGGACAUCUUUUCCACGAUCGUUUUGAAUGGCCGUUUUUCUUUUCAUUCCUUGUAAAAGGUGAAACGAAGUGACGGCGAAAAGAUGAUAGAAAAAAACACGAGACUGCGUAAAAACUGCGUGUGAAGUCGCAAAACGUAAAAAUGAUGGCAGCAACUCUCUUCUCUGUUGGAACGACCUAUCAUCAAAGCAUUUUCUCCCCCCUUAUUUUGCGUUCGCAUGAUUAUUAACGAGCCAUUCGUGUCACGAAACCCCCCCCGCGCGCUCGGUUGAUUUCUGACCGCAUUUUUCUUACAAAACAACACGAAACAGGAUUUUUUUUUUUCUUUCGUUUUAUUAUUAUGCCAUUAAUGUUGUUGUUGUUGUCGCCAGGCGGGACAGCCAAUGAAUUGUUUCGUCAGAGUAAUAAAAAUAAAUUAAAACAAACAAAAAAAAAACGAAUGGGUCCACCGUUGAUCGCAUCGCACUUUUAUUUGUGUGUUUCACUGUACAAAUUGAAUAGUUUAAAUUUAAAAAAAAAUGAGAGGGAAAAAAUCAAAACAAAGUUGAUGGAAAAAGCAAAAAAAAAAAAAAAAAUGGUCUCAUGUGUGUAGGUACAAUGGGGGCGGCAAUAGCAAAA